RNAcentral lists this ribosomal RNA (245 nucleotides) under uncultured bacterium. RNAcentral describes it as "partial 16S ribosomal RNA". It matches the Rfam family "Bacterial small subunit ribosomal RNA", at positions 524 to 768 of the family's 1533-position model. The record is from RNAcentral.
UACAGAGGUGCCAAGCGUUGUUCGGAUUUAUUGGGCGUAAAGGGUGCGUAGGUGGUGAUGCAAGUCGGAUGUGAAAUCCCGGAGCCUAACUCCGGAAUGGCAUUCGAAACUGCAUCGCUCGAGGUCUGGAGAGGUGACUGGAAUUCUCGGUGUAGCAGUGAAAUGCGUAGAUAUCGAGAGGAACACCAGAGGCGAAAGCGAGUCACUGGACAGAACCUGACACUGAGGCACGAAAGCCAGGGGAG